ACACAUGCAGUCGAGGGGUAUAGGUUUUCGGACCUAGAGACCGGCGCACGGGUGCGUAACGCGUAUGCAAUCUACCUUUCACAGAGGGAUAGCCCAGAGAAAUUUGGAUUAAUACCUCAUAGUAUUAUAGAAUGGCAUCAUUUUAUAAUUAAAGUCACAACGGUGAAAGAUGAGCAUGCGUCCCAUUAGCUAGUUGGUAUGGUAACGGCAUACCAAGGCUACGAUGGGUAGGGGUCCUGAGAGGGAGAUCCCCCACACUGGUACUGAGACACGGACCAGACUCCUACGGGAGGCAGCAGUGAGGAAUAUUGGUCAAUGGGCGCAAGCCUGAACCAGCCAUGCCGCGUGCAGGAUGACGGUCCUAUGGAUUGUAAACUGCUUUUGUACGGGAAGAAACACUCCUACGUGUAGGAACUUGACGGUACCGUAAGAAUAAGGAUCGGCUAACUCCGUGCCAGCAGCCGCGGUAAUACGGAGGAUCCAAGCGUUAUCCGGAAUCAUUGGGUUUAAAGGGUCCGUAGGCGGUUUAGUAAGUCAGUGGUGAAAGCCCAUCGCUCAACGGUGGAACGGCCAUUGAUACUGCUAAACUUGAAUUAUUGGGAAGUAACUAGAAUAUGUAGUGUAGCGGUGAAAUGCUUAGAGAUUACAUGGAAUACCAAUUGCGAAGGCAGGUUACUACCAAUGGAUUGACGCUGAUGGACGAAAGCGUGGGUAGCGAACAGGAUUAGAUACCCUGGUAGUCCACGCCGUA
RNAcentral lists this ribosomal RNA (751 nucleotides) under bacterium 115_oclvp27. Its description in RNAcentral is "bacterial SSU rRNA". It matches the Rfam family "Bacterial small subunit ribosomal RNA", at positions 51 to 804 of the family's 1533-position model. RNAcentral also lists the same sequence under 1 other name. The record is from RNAcentral.